Molecule: long non-coding RNA, 855 nt
Filed under: Marmota monax (woodchuck)
Lineage: Eukaryota; Metazoa; Chordata; Mammalia; Rodentia; Sciuridae
Source: RNAcentral
CACUGUCUAAACAUUUCUUAUCCAACAGGUUUUCAGAAAUGGGCUAAAUGUAGGUAAAGAGGCUAAGAAGGCCUGCUUGCACUCUACUCUUGGGAGAAGAAUUCACAUCUCUAUUGCUAAUCUCCCCGUAGCUGCAGAUUUCUCACUGUUUUGCCAAUUGUCUCCCAAGACCUAGAAUCCUCAUUUCUGGGAGGUGGGCCUCUGCUCCCCAGGUGCCAGCUGCUUCUGCCUGGGUCUCCUGGCAUAGCCUGCUCUUGUGUUCUGCUCAUUCUUUCCCCUUCCAAAUGGUUCUCCUUUGAAGCUGUGCAUGCCUAGGCAGAAGUCCCUUUCUUUAGUCAAGCAAGUACAAGUAUGCAUUCUGUCUGUUCCCAACAUUCUCUUUCAAUAUGGUCCUUCCAUGGAUCAGGACAUGCUGUGCUGUGCCUUGGAUCUCCCUGAUGCUCAGUGCUCUACUGACUCACCACCUGUUGUCAGUUGCCAUUCCUUCAGAAUGCAGUUCUGCACAUGGGACAGAACUCCCUUGAAGCUCCUACAGCUGGGCCUGUCCUCCCAAGGUCAUUCCUUGCAGGUGAUCCUUCUGAUUACACAUCCCUCCAUGCCCAGCUGUUCUGCACCACCAGAGAGUAGAGUAAUGCCUAAUCAGCCUCAGACAUACACCGGGCUACCUCUUUAGGGGACUUUCUUGCGUCUGCUGUCCUUGAUUGGUCCAUUUUAACCUGACCCGUGUAAUGUGAAAUGUUGGCUAGACAAACAGGGUAACGUGGGCAAUGUGAUAAGAUGGGACUUAGACCUUCUUUUUUUGAAAUAAUAACUUAUAUGCAAUGCACUUCAUCCGUUCAAUGACCCCAGUUGUAG